This 92-nucleotide microRNA precursor is filed under the name Pteropus vampyrus (large flying fox). Its description in RNAcentral is "miRNA (ENSPVAG00000024410.1)". The record is from RNAcentral. Lineage: Eukaryota; Metazoa; Chordata; Mammalia; Chiroptera; Pteropodidae.
UGUGAUAUGUAUGUAUGUAUGUACAUGUGUACAUGUAUGUAUGUAUGCGUACUCCCUUCACCUAUGAGAACUAUGACUAAAAAGACAUCACA